RNAcentral lists this ribosomal RNA (421 nucleotides) under uncultured bacterium. RNAcentral's name for it is "bacterial SSU rRNA". It matches the Rfam family "Bacterial small subunit ribosomal RNA", at positions 10 to 413 of the family's 1533-position model. The record is from RNAcentral.
AGUUUGAUCCUGGCUCAGAAUGAACGCUGGCGGCGUGCCUAACACAUGCAAGUCGAGCGAGGCCGCGGGGCAACCCGGAGUCGAGCGUCGAACGGGUGAGUAACGCGUGGGUAACCUACCCAGGAGAGGGGGAUAGCCCCGCGAAAGUGGGGGUAAUACCGCGUACGCUCUCCGGUGCACAAGCGCCGGAGAGGAAAGGUGGGGAUCCCUUCGGGGACCUGCCGCUCCUGGAUGGGCCCGCGUCCGAUUAGCUAGUUGGUGGGGUAACGGCCUACCAAGGCGACGAUCGGUAGCCGGCCUGAGAGGGUGACCCGCCACAUUUGGGACUUAGACACGGCCCAGACUUCUACGGGAGGCAGCAGUGGGGAAUAUUUGGCAAUUGGCGAAGGCUUGACCCAGCGACGCCGCGUGAGGGAUUAAG